This 468-nucleotide ribosomal RNA is filed under the name uncultured bacterium. Its description in RNAcentral is "partial 16S ribosomal RNA". It matches the Rfam family "Bacterial small subunit ribosomal RNA", at positions 28 to 507 of the family's 1533-position model. The record is from RNAcentral.
GACGAACGCUGGCGGCGUGCUUAACACAUGCAAGUCGAACGGAAAGGGCCGGCUUUCGGGGGGUGCUCGAGUGGCGGACGGGUGAGUGACACGAGAGUAACCUGCCCUUGACUUUGGGAUAACUUCAGGAAGCUGGGGCUAAUACCGGAUAGGAGCUCCUACUGCAUGGGGGGGGGUGGAAAGUUUCGGCGGUGGGGGAUGGACUGGCGGCUUAUCAGCUCGUUGGUGGGGUAGUGGCUUACCAAGGCGUUGACGGGUAGGCGGCCUGAGAGGGUGACCGGCACCAUUGCGCCUGAAAUACGGCCCAGACCCCAACGGGAGGCAGCAGUGGAGAAUAGUGCCCAAUGCGCGGAAGCCUGCUGCAGCACCGCCGCGUCGGGGAUGCCGGGCUUCGCGUUGUAAACCGAAUCCGCCUGUAAAGAAGCGUGAGUGACGGUAAUGGGUAAAGAAGCACCGGCUAACUACGUG